GAUGAACGCUGGCGGCGUGCCUAAUACAUGCAAGUCGAGCGAACAGACGAGGAGCUUGCUCCUCUGACGUUAGCGGCGGACGGGUGAGUAACACGUGUAUAACCUACCUAUAAGACUGGGAUAACUUCGGGAAACCGGAGCUAAUACCGGAUAAUAUAUUGAACCGCAUGGUUCAAUAGUGAAAGACGGUUUUGCUGUCACUUAUAGAUGGAUCCGCGCCGCAUUAGCUAGUUGGUAAGGUAACGGCUUACCAAGGCAACGAUGCGUAGCCGACCUGAGAGGGUGGUCGGCCAGCCUGGAACUGAGACACGGUCCCGACUCCGACGGGGGGCAGCAGUAGGGAAUCUUCCGCAAUGGGCGAAAGCCUGACGGAGCAACGCCGCGGGAGUGAUGAAGGUCUUCGGAUCGUAAAACUAUGUUAGUAGGGAAGAACAAAUGUGUAAGUAACUAUGCACGUCUUGACGGUACCUAAUCAGAAAGCCACGGCUAACUACGUG
RNAcentral lists this ribosomal RNA (497 nucleotides) under uncultured bacterium. Its description in RNAcentral is "partial 16S ribosomal RNA". It matches the Rfam family "Bacterial small subunit ribosomal RNA", at positions 28 to 507 of the family's 1533-position model. The record is from RNAcentral.